GUAGGGAGCAAGCGUUGUCCGGAAUCAUUGGGCGUAAAGCGCGCGUAGGCGGCCCUGUAAGUCCGCUGUGAAAGUCAAAGGCUCAACCUUUGAAAGCCGGUGGAUACUGCAGGGCUAGAGUCCGGAAGAGGCGAGUGGAACUCCUGGUGUAGCGGUGGAAUGCGCAGAUAUCAGGAAGAACACCAACGGCGAAGGCAGCUCGCUGGGACGGCACUGACGCUAAGGCGCGAAAGCGUGGGGAGCGAACAGGAUUAGAUACCCUGGUAGUCCACGCCGUAAACGAUGGGCAUUAGGUGUGGGAGGUGUCGACUCCUCCCGUGCCGACGCUAACGCAUUAAAUGCCCCGCCUGGGGAGUACGGCCGCAAGGCUA
This 371-nucleotide ribosomal RNA is filed under the name uncultured bacterium. RNAcentral's name for it is "bacterial SSU rRNA". It matches the Rfam family "Bacterial small subunit ribosomal RNA", at positions 527 to 896 of the family's 1533-position model. The record is from RNAcentral.